This 305-nucleotide ribosomal RNA is filed under the name uncultured bacterium. RNAcentral describes it as "bacterial SSU rRNA". It matches the Rfam family "Bacterial small subunit ribosomal RNA", at positions 336 to 639 of the family's 1533-position model. The record is from RNAcentral.
UUCCUACGGGGCGCAGCAGUGAGGAAUAUUGGUCAAUGGGCUAAGGCCUGAACCAGCCAAGUCGCGUGAGGGAAGACGGUCCUAUGGAUUGUAAACCUCUUUUGUCGGGGAGCAACGAGGCCACGUGUGGCCGAAGUGAGAGUACCCGAAGAAAAAGCAUCGGCUAACUCCGUGCCAGCAGCCGCGGUAAUACGGAGGAUGCGAGCGUUAUCCGGAUUUAUUGGGUUUAAAGGGUGCGUAGGCGGAUUUUUAAGUCAGCGGUAAAAUGUCCGGGCUCAACCCGGGCCGGCCGUUGAAACUGGGGG